UAUCAAUAUUUUAUUAUAUAUUAUCUACAUUAAAAUUUCUAUAUUUAUAAUUUACCAACACAUAUUGCCUAAAAAUCAUUUUGGAUUACAUUUUGAGCUUUUCUUUUCCCUUUGUAAAAUGUAUGUUUAAAAACAAAGUUUAACUAAAUAUAUUUUUAAAAGCUUGAAAUAUCUAAAUAAUGAGUUCAUAGUUUAGUCUUGAGGAAUAUUCCAUUAUUAAUAAUUUUUAACCUACUUAUGGGUCAUAAUGGCCCACCUAAUGAUCUGCAAAACACUCCUGAAAUGCAUUUCUGCAUUACUUUAGCUGUACCUCACACUGUUAUGAAGUAAUCCAGUGAAGGAUUACUUCCUGGUAACCUACUAAGUGUUACUAACAUGUAUUAUUUAUAAAGUAAAGUUAGAGUUACUAAAAUUUAUGAGGCCUCAGAGUCAGUGUUCUACCAACCACAUAGCGAUAUUGCAAAAGUAAUUCUGUUCAAGGUAUGAUCAGAUAGUUGAAUUUCCUAUAAUUUGACUAGAGGGCUCAUUAAUAUGGUGUUUGUCUUGUGACUUGGUUAUGAUUUUCAUUUGUUGCUACUCUCUUUUCUGGUAAGCAUUUUUUCAAAAGACAAGUAUCACAUAUAUUCUCUCAUAUGUUAACUUUACAGGGAAAAAGAUGACAUGGAAGUAGAAGGGGUACUAUUGGGGAAGUAGAAAGGGACUGAGGUAGAGGCAAGGGGAUCAAAGCAUAUUGUAUGCAGGUAUGAAAAUGCUAAAAUUGAAGCCCAUUAUUCGGUGCAGUUAACAGAUGUUAAUAAUUCUAAUAAAAUGAUUCCUCCAUCUUUUAAAAUCACUACUUCCUUCAUUAUUUUAUUUCUUUUAUUCUCUCAAUACUGAGGACUGAACCCAGGGUACUCUGUUCCUGAGCUACAUGCCAGUCUUCCUUAUUUUAAUUUUGAGGCAGGGUCUCACCAAGUUGCCCAGGCUGUCCUUGAACUUGUGAUCCUUCUGCAUCGGGCUUCUGAAUUGCUGGGAUUACAGGUAUGUACC
Molecule: long non-coding RNA, 1029 nt
Filed under: Marmota monax (woodchuck)
Lineage: Eukaryota; Metazoa; Chordata; Mammalia; Rodentia; Sciuridae
Source: RNAcentral